Molecule: transfer RNA, 72 nt
Filed under: Ovis aries (sheep)
Lineage: Eukaryota; Metazoa; Chordata; Mammalia; Artiodactyla; Bovidae
Rfam family: tRNA
About the family: Transfer RNA (tRNA) molecules are approximately 80 nucleotides in length.
Source: Rfam by way of RNAcentral
UCCCUUAUAGCUCAGUUGAUAAAGAAUCUGCCUGCAGUGCAGGAGAUCCAGGUUCAGUUCCUGGGUUGGGAA